CGGAGCGUAGCGCAGCCUGGUAGCGCACCUGCAUGGGGUGCAGGGGGUCGGAGGUUCAAAUCCUCUCGCUCCGA
Molecule: transfer RNA, 74 nt
Filed under: Pseudoxanthobacter soli DSM 19599
Lineage: Bacteria; Pseudomonadati; Pseudomonadota; Alphaproteobacteria; Hyphomicrobiales; Segnochrobactraceae
Also listed under: 1 other name
Rfam family: tRNA
About the family: Transfer RNA (tRNA) molecules are approximately 80 nucleotides in length. Their secondary structure includes four short double-helical elements and three loops (D, anti-codon, and T loops).
Source: Rfam by way of RNAcentral